Molecule: long non-coding RNA, 215 nt
Filed under: Lathyrus oleraceus (garden pea)
Lineage: Eukaryota; Viridiplantae; Streptophyta; Magnoliopsida; Fabales; Fabaceae
Description: Pisum sativum (pea) long non-coding RNA (PSAT_LNC023351)
Source: RNAcentral
UGAAACUUCAACCUCUCCAACUCCCGGAUUCACAUGAAAUCAAGCAUGAAUUUCAUUCUAUCCAUGAUCAUCGUGGCAAACUCCACACUCAUGAGCCAUUGGUUGGCCAUGGGUAUGGAAAAUUCAAGUCCAAAUCAGAUGAACAUCCAACCCUAAUUUGAAAAUUAAAUCCCAAUGGUGCAAUAAUAGAGGUUCAAAGGUUAGGGGAAAUUUUC